Molecule: ribosomal RNA, 301 nt
Filed under: uncultured bacterium
Lineage: Bacteria
Description: partial 16S ribosomal RNA
Rfam family: Bacterial small subunit ribosomal RNA
Source: RNAcentral
CAGUCGCCGCGGUAAUACAGAGGGUGCAAGCGUUAAUCGGAAUUACUGGGCGUAAAGCGCGCGUAGGUGGUUUGUUAAGUUGGAUGUGAAAGCCCCGGGCUCAACCUGGGAACUGCAUCCAAAACUGGCAAGCUAGAGUACGGUAGAGGGUGGUGGAAUUUCCUGUGUAGCGGUGAAAUGCGUAGAUAUAGGAAGGAACACCAGUGGCGAAGGCGACCACCUGGACUGAUACUGACACUGAGGUGCGAAAGCGUGGGGAGCAAACAGGAUUAGAUACCCGUGUAGUCCCUGUCUCUUAUAA